ACAGCACUUACAGGAUGUUUUUCCAUGGGUGUCUCCAGUCUCAUGCACAGUGAAUCCCAGAUAAUCCCCACAUAUCUUUUAGGACUGUGUGUUGGCCAGCACAUCCUGGCUGGAAAGAAUAAUGCAGAUGUAACCUGGGCAUUUAAUCACAUGGAGGAAUUUAGGCUGUGCUGGGGCCAUGUUGCAGCAGCCCCAAGGUCACUUUGCGGUAACAAUCCACCUAAUCCACAAUUUUCACAGAUCGGUCACUCUUAGGUGACAAUCCCCCUGACUCUUCUUGGCCUGCCAGCUGUUCUGUCCAGGUGAGUGGGGGGAAGCAGAGCCCAUGGCUGAGGGAGGCCGUGCCUACAGCUCAGGGUCCUGGCUAAACCGAGCUGCAUCUUACAGGGACCACAUGUAGUGAGCCACACGUUCAUCUCCACACCUGCACUUCCAGUUUGGGUUAAACCUGCCACCUAGACAACGCCGACUGCAGCUGGGGACACGCCUGGAGCCCUGCAAGCAAGUCGGAAAGUCCAUGCCUUGAUAUUCUCCACCCGUUUCCUGAGUGUACAGCAUGUCUUACCUUUGGUGAAUAUUUGGGAGGAGUGCUUUCAUAGACUGCCACAUCUCCAUGAAGGCAUGAGGAAGUAAACACCUCUGAGCGAAGCCUCCCCAGAAAGGCAACAGCAGUUGGCUCAAACCCCGUCUUCCUACUCAAACCUCACACUUUAGGCACUGCUCAGACGAUUACUUUGAGUUCCUUUAAGAACCUCCAGUUGUUUUCUGACUCGCUUCUGCUUUGGGCAUUGAUGAUGAGUGGGAAGCCUGAAAACUUGCAAAGUCUAUUCUGUAGUUUA
Molecule: long non-coding RNA, 839 nt
Organism: Motacilla alba alba
Lineage: Eukaryota; Metazoa; Chordata; Aves; Passeriformes; Motacillidae
Exons: 3
Source: RefSeq, a predicted model, not a curated record